RNAcentral lists this ribosomal RNA (253 nucleotides) under uncultured bacterium. Its description in RNAcentral is "partial 16S ribosomal RNA". It matches the Rfam family "Bacterial small subunit ribosomal RNA", at positions 524 to 776 of the family's 1533-position model. The record is from RNAcentral.
UACGUAGGGAGCAAGCGUUGUCCGGAAUCAUUGGGCGGAAAGCGCGCGUAGGUGGCCAUGUAAGUCCGCUGUGAAAGUCAAAGGCUCAACCUUUGAAAGCCGGUGGAUACUGCAUGGCUAGAGUACGGAAGAGGCGAGUGGAAUUCCUGGUGUAGCGGUGGAAUGCGCAGAUAUCAGGAGGAACACCAAUAGCGAAGGCAGCUCGCUGGGACGUCACUGACACUGAGGCGCGAAAGCGUGGGGAGCAAACAGG